RNAcentral lists this non-coding RNA (146 nucleotides) under Chlorocebus sabaeus (green monkey). The record is from Rfam by way of RNAcentral. Lineage: Eukaryota; Metazoa; Chordata; Mammalia; Primates; Cercopithecidae.
GCUGGGCAUGGUGGCGCAUGCCUGUAAUCCCAGCUGCUUGGGAGGCUGAGGCAGGAGAAUCGCUUGAACCCAGGAGGCUGAGGUUGUAGUGAGCCAAGAUCAUGCCAUUGCACUCCAGCCUGGGUGACAGUGAGACUCUGUCUCAA